Molecule: ribosomal RNA, 460 nt
Filed under: uncultured bacterium
Lineage: Bacteria
Description: partial 16S ribosomal RNA
Rfam family: Bacterial small subunit ribosomal RNA
Source: RNAcentral
CCUACGGGUGGCAGCAGUGAGGAAUAUUGGUCAAUGGACGAGAGUCUGAACCAGCCAAGUAGCGUGAAGGAUGACUGCCCUAUGGGUUGUAAACUUCUUUUAUAUGGGAAUAAAACAUGGUAUGCAUACCCUCUUGUAUGUACCAUAUGAAUAAGGAUCGGCUAACUCCGUGCCAGCAGCCGCGGUAAUACGGAGGAUCCGAGCGUUAUCCGGAUUUAUUGGGUUUAAAGGGAGCGUAGGUGGAUUGUUAAGUCAGUUGUGAAAGUUUGCGGCUCAACCGUAAAAUUGCAGUUGAAACUGGUAGUCCUGAGUACAGUAGAGGUGGGCGGAAUUCGGGGUGUAGCGGUGAAAUGCUUAGAUAUCACGAAGAACUCCGAUGGCGAAGGCAGCUUACUGGACUGCAACUGACACUGAUGCUCGAAAGUGUGGGUAUCAAACAGGAUUAGAUACCCUUGUAGUC